GACGAACGCUGGCGGCGUGCUUAACACAUGCAAGUCGAACGGAAAGGCCCUGCUCUUGUGGGGUGCUCGAGUGGCGAACGGGUGAGUAACACGUGAGUAACCUGCCCUUGACUUUGGGAUAACUUCAGGAAAAUGGGGCUAAUAUCGGAUAGGAGCUCCUGCUGCAUGGUGGGGGUUGGAAAGAUUCGGCGGUUGGGGAUGGACUCGCGGCUUAUCAGCUUGUUGGUGGGGUAGUGGCUUACCAAGGCUUUGACGGGUAGCCGGCCUGAGAGGGUGACCGGCCACAUUGGGACUGAGGUACGGCCCAGACUCCUACGGGAGGCAGCGGUGGGGAAUAUUGCACAAUGGGCGGAAGCCUGAUGCAGCAACGCCGCGUGCGGGAUGACGGCCUUCGGGUUGUAAACCGCUUUCGCCUGUGACGAAGCGUGAGUGACGGUAAUGAGUAAAGAAGCACCGGCUAACUACGUG
Molecule: ribosomal RNA, 468 nt
Filed under: uncultured bacterium
Lineage: Bacteria
Description: partial 16S ribosomal RNA
Rfam family: Bacterial small subunit ribosomal RNA
Source: RNAcentral